RNAcentral lists this ribosomal RNA (425 nucleotides) under uncultured bacterium. Its description in RNAcentral is "partial 16S ribosomal RNA". It matches the Rfam family "Bacterial small subunit ribosomal RNA", at positions 354 to 796 of the family's 1533-position model. The record is from RNAcentral.
GUGGGGAAUCUUAGACAAUGGGGGAAACCCUGAUCUAGCCAUGCCGCGUGAUCGAUGAAGGCCUUAGGGUUGUAAAGAUCUUUCAGGUGGGAAGAUAAUGACUGUACCACCAGAAGAAGCCCCGGCUAACUCCGUGCCAGCAGCCGCGGUAAUACGGAGGGGGCUAGCGUUGUUCGGAAUUACUGGGCGUAAAGCGCACGUAGGCGGAUUGGAAAGUUGGGGGUGAAAUCCCGGGGCUCAACCCCGGAACUGCCUUCAAAACUCCCAGUCUUGAGUUCGGGAGAGGUGAGUGGAAUUCCGAGUGUAGAGGUGAAAUUCGUAGAUAUUCGGAGGAACACCAGUGGCGAAGGCGGCUCACUGGCUCGAUACUGACGCUGAGGUGCGAAAGCGUGGGGAGCAAACAGGAUUAGAAACCCGGGUAGUCC